Molecule: long non-coding RNA, 1394 nt
Filed under: Vombatus ursinus (common wombat)
Lineage: Eukaryota; Metazoa; Chordata; Mammalia; Diprotodontia; Vombatidae
Description: lncRNA (ENSVURG00010024776.1)
Source: RNAcentral
AUGAAAGCAAACCCCAGCAGGGGGAAGCUGGGGCCGUCUGCUGCGGCUUGCGCGCUCCCAUUUCUGUGCGCGGGAGAAAUGCUUCCAUUUUUCCAAGCUGAAAAUGAAGAAUCCCCAAUCGGCUUGGAAAGGCACUCUCCCGGCACAAUCCCUGCUGUGAAGGGGUCUCUCCACCUCCCCUUUUACAAAAAAGGCAAAAAACAAACAGUAAGUCGUCUUCUCAGUAUUUUCCACAGGCGCAACCAAACAAGGCAGGAAGCUUCCAAUUACAGGUCAUUAGCAAUAAUAAUAUUAAUAAUAAAGGUUUUUGCUCAAUACCCAGGGUUCUUUACAGAGAAGUUCCCAACGGAGGCACUCUGGAAUCAAGUCCCUGACGUUCCCUCUGCAUCUAGCCCCACGCUGCGAGGGCUGGGGCCCGGGGCCCGGGGGUCGGGGCUGAAGGGAGCACACCCCUUGGAAGGUGCAGCCCGGAUCAUUAGCACAUUUGCCAGAACACCCCAGGCUGCCAUCUCCUACCCACUCCCUCCCCGAGACUCGUUUCUUUUUUUUUUUUUUUUCUGGAGAUUUAAGUCAAGGCCAGGAGUCAAAGCUGGGGUAAGUGGCCACCAUGGGAGUCCCCCUCUGCACACUACGGCUUUGGAAAGAGCAAGGGUGCCCUUGGCGUCCGGCGUGGGCUGCUGGGCUUGGCUCCUCGUCCCUGCCCCGUGGAGGGCUGCGGUCGAGAGGAAAGCCAGGGACCGGGGGUCUAGAAAGGGAACUGAAGGGCAGCUGGGAAAGAAGAGGGGAGAAGGUUGUGCUAUCAACAUCCUUACAGAUUGGGGAGCAGAGUGCAAAUUUGCGUAUAACAUUUAUAAGCUCUUGCCACAGGCAGCUGCUGUGAGCACCUCCUCUCACUUCCACAUUGACCCAAAAAGAAAUCACGACCUUUUUUUCUUUCUCUUUAAAGUGCAAAAAGCUCUCUGCUGCCCUAGAGAGGAUCUUUGGACCGGCCUGCUCAAUGCAAAAGAACGGGGGUGGGGGGCAGCUGACGGGGUGCAGCAGGGAGCUAGUGGCUGUGCAGGGGGAGAGCCAAAGCGUAGCAUUUCUCUAAGCUGAAGAACAAGGACUGAGUCACCAGACUAUACACAAAGACAAGACCCUCGCAGGCCGUUGGAAGCGCAGGGACCCGGCCUGGUCCUCAUCCUCCCCCCACCCCCCACCCCCCACCCCCCAGCUCUGUGGAAGCCUCAGGCUCCCUCCAAGCACACACACCCCGGGAAAAGCCCUCCUCAGAAAGAGAGAGAAAAAAGAAUCUCGGGCAAAGGGGGAAGAAGAGGAGAGGGGCUUCAGCAGGGGGACCUUGGGGCUGGAGCUCAGCCCGGGAGUCCUCCCCCCCCCCCCACAUGGCCACCCUG